GGAGGGCAAGAUGGCAGCGUUACAAUCAUCCUGAGAAGCCAAGUCACAACCUCACUUUCCAACUGAUGUUGUGGCUGUGGGAUAAAUAGGGAAAGCUAACCAUUGAUGCCAGACAGAGCAAUGAACGUCUAUUUCCAAAAAUGCACCCAGAUUUCAUAAUAAAGACUACUGGUCGAGGUGAGAGCAUCUGAAGUAGAAUUUGGAAGCUUUCGUUUUGCUUGCUAUAAAAUGGAGAUAACAUUUCUCCUCCUUCCCUUACCACUAUAUGAAAUCUUAAUAUCCAGGAGGAUAACCAACACCUAUGACUUUCAUGCCAUGGAGGAAGCAUUGGGUAAGGAAAGUUUGAAGAUGGAGUCAGAGGAUCAGAGGAGGCACCUACCAGUCAAUGUUGUAGAUCUUCCAUGAUUUCCUUUCUGUAUAUCCUUCAUAGACAUUUCUCUCAAGAAACAUCUUGCACAUCUAACCCCAUCUUGCUAUCGGCUUCUUGGAAGACCUGAAUUAACAUGACCAGUUUGUGAUGCGGCAACUCCUAACUGAAACAGCUGGUCGUUCUUCCACAUUUGUCUAAGACUGACCUCAUGAAAUUCAAUAAAGAUACACUUACAAAAUGUCCAAUUAUUAAUAGUUAUUCCUUUAUAAACUUUAUAUAAAUUGCAAAUUAGGAAAAAUAUCCUUUGUUCAACCAGGCAUUCUUUUAUUUUUAAUAAUAUGCAUGAUUUGAAAAAUACCACAUUCUCAUAAAAAUGUAAUCUUCAGAUUCAUGUGCUUACAAUAAGCAAUCAACAAAUCUUUUCUGAGUGCCUGCUUUCUGAGAGGCAAAAAGCCCUGGGGGAAAAAAAAUUGACAAGACAAAGAGUGUUAUCUUCAAGAAGCGUGUUUUGUACUAUGGAGAAAAUGAAUUGACAAAUAUAAUCAACAAUAUUAUGAGGUUAA
Molecule: long non-coding RNA, 933 nt
Organism: Zalophus californianus (California sea lion)
Lineage: Eukaryota; Metazoa; Chordata; Mammalia; Carnivora; Otariidae
Exons: 3
Source: RefSeq, a predicted model, not a curated record